This 465-nucleotide ribosomal RNA is filed under the name uncultured bacterium. RNAcentral describes it as "partial 16S ribosomal RNA". It matches the Rfam family "Bacterial small subunit ribosomal RNA", at positions 28 to 507 of the family's 1533-position model. The record is from RNAcentral.
GACGAACGCUGGCGGCGUGCUUAACACAUGCAAGUCGUACGGUAAGGCCCUUUCGGGGGUCCACGAGUGGCGAACGGGUGAGUAACACGUGAGUAACCUGCCCACAACUUUGGGAUAACGCUAGGAAACUGGUGCUAAUACUGGAUAUGUGCUCCUGCUGCAUGGUGGGGGUUGGAAAGCUCCGGCGGUUGUGGAUGGACUCGCGGCCUAUCAGCUUGUUGGUGGGGUAGUGGCCUACCAAGGCGGCGACGGGUAGCCGGCCUGAGAGGGUGACCGGCCACAUUGGGACUGAGAUACGGCCCAGACUCCUACGGGAGGCAGCAGUGGGGAAGAUCGCACAAUGGGCGCAAGCCUGAUGCAGCAACGCCGCGUGCGGGAUGACGGCCUUCGGGUUGUAAACCGCUUUCAGCAGGGACGAAGCUUUUUGUGACGGUACCUGCAGAAGAAGCACCGGCUAACUACGUG